GAUGAACGCUGGCGGCGUGCCUAAUACAUGCAAGUCGAGCGAACGGACGAGAAGCUUGCUUUUCUGAUGUUAGCGGCGGACGGGUGAGUAACACGUGGAUAACCUACCUAUAAGACUGGGAUAACUUCGGGAAACCGGAGCUAAUACCGGAUAAUAUUUUGAACCGCAUGGUUCAAAAGUGAAAGACGGUCUUGCGGUCACGUAUAGAUGGAUCCGCGCUGCAUUAGCUAGUUGGUAAGGUAACGGCUUACCAAGGCAACGAUGCAUAGACGACCGUGGCGAGGGGUAGGCGACCUGGGAAGGGAAACAGGCUCAAGAGGACUGAGGGAGGGACCAGACGGCAACCGGACGCAACGGGGGAAAGCAUGACGGAAUAACGCCACGCGAGAGAUGAAGGCGUCGGGAGCGUAAAAAUGUGUUAUUAGGGAAGAACAUAUGUGUAAGUAAAUGUGCAGCUCUUGACGGUACCUACACAGAAAGCCCCGGCUAACUACGUG
Molecule: ribosomal RNA, 497 nt
Filed under: uncultured bacterium
Lineage: Bacteria
Description: partial 16S ribosomal RNA
Rfam family: Bacterial small subunit ribosomal RNA
Source: RNAcentral